RNAcentral lists this ribosomal RNA (238 nucleotides) under uncultured Pseudomonadales bacterium. RNAcentral describes it as "partial 16S ribosomal RNA". It matches the Rfam family "Bacterial small subunit ribosomal RNA", at positions 88 to 334 of the family's 1533-position model. Lineage: Bacteria; Pseudomonadati; Pseudomonadota; Gammaproteobacteria; Pseudomonadales. The record is from RNAcentral.
AUACUUAGUGGCGGACGGGUGAGUAAUGCUUAGGAAUCUGCCUAGUAGUGGGGGAUAACUUGGGGAAACCCAAGCUAAUACCGCAUACGACCUACGGGUGAAAGGGGGCUUUUAGCUCUCGCUAUUAGAUGAGCCUAAGUCGGAUUAGCUGGUUGGUGGGGUAAAGGCCUACCAAGGCGACGAUCUGUAGCUGGUCUGAGGGGAUGAUCAGCCACACUGGGACUGAGACACGGCCCAG